RNAcentral lists this long non-coding RNA (437 nucleotides) under Malus domestica (apple). RNAcentral's name for it is "long non-coding RNA (MDOM_LNC018933)". Lineage: Eukaryota; Viridiplantae; Streptophyta; Magnoliopsida; Rosales; Rosaceae. The record is from RNAcentral.
AUGAAUAUGAGAACUCUUCGUUGAUCGUGUUCAGUGAACUCAUUCUCUAUUGAGCACCUACGUACGUGUCUUGACGUCACACACACCAAUGACUCGAGACUAGUCACUCUCCCUGAGAGAAGACACAGCACGUACUGAUCUUAACGGACUGUCAAUGCCCAAUUGGUAAUCCUAUGAUCAGGAACGUUUAGGAUGUGUCUACGAAAGAAUGUUCUCAUGAAUCUAACUUCUUUAGAUCGCAUUCUCCCAAUCACAUAUUCCUUGGACUUAUCGUUUAAGCGUAUAACAUUUAUAUGAGACGGCUUAAACAAUAAUCUUUGCCCUUGAUAUUAAACUAGAUUAGUUUAACAUGUGAAAUGUCCGUAAAGUAUCAUCAUAUGAUUGGUUUCAGGGCACAUUUCCAACAGCAUGGACACACGAGAAAGGAUAAGAUUAGG